GCCCUACGGGACGCAGCAGUGAGGAAUAUUGGUCAAUGGGCGCAAGCCUGAACCAGCCAAGUCGCGUGAGGGAUGACGGUCCUAUGGAUUGUAAACCUCUUUUGUCGGGGAGCAAGGCCCGCCACGUGUGGCGGGAAGGAGAGUACCCGAAGAAAAAGCAUCGGCUAACUCCGUGCCAGCAGCCGCGGUAAUCCGGAGGAUGCGAGCGUUAUCCGGAUUUAUUGGGUUUAAAGGGUGCGUAGGCGGAAGGUUAAGUCAGCGGUCAAAUUUCGGUGCUCCACACCGGCCUUCCCUUGAAA
RNAcentral lists this ribosomal RNA (299 nucleotides) under uncultured bacterium. RNAcentral describes it as "partial 16S ribosomal RNA". It matches the Rfam family "Bacterial small subunit ribosomal RNA", at positions 335 to 632 of the family's 1533-position model. The record is from RNAcentral.